Molecule: ribosomal RNA, 253 nt
Filed under: uncultured bacterium
Lineage: Bacteria
Description: partial 16S ribosomal RNA
Rfam family: Bacterial small subunit ribosomal RNA
Source: RNAcentral
UACGUAGGGUGCAAGCGUUGUCCGGAAUUAUUGGGCGUAAAGAGCUCGUAGGCGGUCUGUCACGUCGGCUGUGAAAUCCCGAGGCUCAACCUCGGGUCUGCAGUCGAUACGGGCAAACUAGAGUACUGCAGGGGAGACUGGAAUUCCUGGUGUAGCGGUGAAAUGCGCAGAUAUCAGGAGGAACACCGGUGGCGAAGGCGGGUCUCUGGGCCGAAAUUGACGCUGAGGAGCGAAAGCGUGGGGAGCAAACAGG